AUGAUGAUAAAGGAGGAGCAUGAGGAGUUUUCUCGUAAGAUGGCGAAGAUGCGUCUUGAGAUUGAAGAAAAGUAUAAGCGGGACUGUGAGUACAUGGAAAAAAGUUUGUCCUUGGCUACAAGGAAAUGCAUCAAACAUUGCAGAAGGACCGGAAGCUUGUGGAUAGUAUUAUACAGACAGAGCGAGUCAGGAUGGAUGCGUAUGUGUUGCAGGCACGUGCGGAUAUGGACAGUAAGCUGCUACAGGAGCGGUCGGACAUGGACUAUAAGGCCAUGCUGGAGAAGGUCCGCUUGGAAGGACAUAUGUUAG
This 309-nucleotide ribosomal RNA is filed under the name Triticum aestivum (bread wheat). RNAcentral's name for it is "partial small subunit ribosomal RNA". The record is from RNAcentral. Lineage: Eukaryota; Viridiplantae; Streptophyta; Magnoliopsida; Poales; Poaceae.